UAUAAUUCCGGUAGAUACUGGGCGUUAAGCAUUGCGUCAGCGCUGAUUAUACAGAUGUGGAAAUAUUCCCGCGCGUGCUCAAUCUAGGGAGACUGCAUCUGUGACUGUAUAGCUAGAGUACGUAGAGGAGGGAUGGUAAUACUGCGUGUAGCAGUGAAAUGCGUAGAUAUGAUGGAGGAACACCGAUGGGGGGAAGGCAAUCCCCUCCGGGCCCUGUACUGACGCUCAUGCACGAAAAGCGUGGGGAGCAAACAAGGAUUUAGAUACCCUGGUAGUUCCACGCCCCUCAAAAACGAAUGUCAACUGGUUGUUGGGUGUUCACUGAACUCCAGGUAACGAAGCUAACGCGUGAAGUUGACCGCCUGGGGGAGUACGGCCGCAAAGGUUGAAACUCAAAAGGAAUUGACGGGGACCCGCACAAGCGGUGGAGCAUGUGGUUUAAUUUGAUGAUACGCGAGGAACCUUACCUAGGCUAGAAUGUGAGCGCUAUCUGGUGAAAGCCGGAGUUCCUUCGGGACGCGAAACAAGGUGCUGCAUGGUUGUCGUCAGCUCGUGCCGUGAGAUGUUGGGUUAAGUCCCGCAACGAGCGCAACCCCUAUCAUUAGUUGCCAACAGGUCAAGCUGGGAACUCUAAUGAAACUGCCGUCGUAAGACGUGAGGAAGGAGGGGAUGAUGUCAAGUCAUCAUGGCCCUUACGGCCAGGGCUACACACGUACUACAAUGGUCGGUACAGAGGGUUGCAAUACCGCGAGGUGGAGCCAAUCCCCGAAAACCGAUCCCCGUCCGGAUUGGAGUCUGCAACUCGACUCCAUGAAGUCGGAAUCGCUAGUAAUCGCGGAUCAGCUUGCCGCGGUGAAUACGUUCCCGGGCCUUGUACACACCGCCCGUCUCUCCAUGGGAGUUGGUUGCUCCUGAAGUAGGUAGUCUAACCGCUAGGGGGACGCUUACCUCGGAGUGGUCUAUGACUGGGGGAAGUCGUAACAAGUAACCGAAGCGAGU
RNAcentral lists this ribosomal RNA (999 nucleotides) under uncultured bacterium. RNAcentral's name for it is "bacterial SSU rRNA". It matches the Rfam family "Bacterial small subunit ribosomal RNA", at positions 537 to 1509 of the family's 1533-position model. The record is from RNAcentral.